CGCAUCUGUGCAUGCAGCAUAUCAAUAGCGGAGGAAAAGAAACUAACAAGGAUUCCCUUAGUAACGGCGAGUGAAGCGGGAAGAGCUCAAAUUUGAAAUCUUCAGGGUUUUACCUUGACGAAUUGUAGUUUAAAGAAGUGUUUUCUGUUGAAGUUUUGGUAAAAGUUCUUUGGAAUAGGACAUCAUAGAGGGUGAGAAUCCCGUAUUUGACCAUUAUUUUCAGCUGUGUGAUACACUUUCAAAGAGUCGGAUUGUUUGGGAAUGCAGUCCAAAAUGGGUGGUAAAUUUCAUCUAAAGCUAAAUAUUGGCGAGAGACCGAUAGCGAACAAGUACCGUGAGGGAAAGAUGAAAAGAACUUUGAAAAGAGAGUUAAACAGUACGUGAAAUUGUCAAAAGGGAAGCGUUUGACACCAGUGUUGUUUUCUCGAAAAUCAAUUAAAAAGAGUUAGAUUUUGUUGUGUAUUGACCUUAACAGCUUGCAUUUCAAUUUUCUUGCUUUUUUUAAUGCACUUUUCGUUUAACAAGUCAACAUCAGUUUCUUUUGUUGUAAAAAGGUCAUUGGAAGGUGGCUUUCUUUUCGGAGAAAGUGUUUAUAGCCUUUGACUCCUGCAAUCGGAGAGACUGAGGUCUGCAGCGUAGAUCCUUCGGGGUUAGAUACAUUUGUGCUAAGUUAUAGCUUUUUAUAGACAACUUGUUGACUAUGAUUAGUCUUGUAGCUUACUCGCUUAUGCUAUUUUACCUACGCUUAGGAUGUUGACACACGCGCGUGCUCG
Molecule: ribosomal RNA, 773 nt
Filed under: uncultured Neocallimastigales
Lineage: Eukaryota; Fungi; Neocallimastigomycota; Neocallimastigomycetes; Neocallimastigales
Description: partial large subunit ribosomal RNA
Rfam family: Eukaryotic large subunit ribosomal RNA
Source: RNAcentral